UCUAUAUAUUGUUUGUCUUUGCAGUCCACAUUCUUGCAACUCAGGCUGUCUUCUGGUCUUCGAAAGGUCCUUUUUGGCACGGCUCUUGGUACGGUCGCCCUAGCCCUGGCUGCACACCAGCUAAAACGGCACAAGCACAAGAAGAAGCAGAUUACAGCAGGCAAUGGAGGCCUAAAGCUCGGCGGGGUGCCUGGCUCUGUUUUGCCCGUUAGGCGUUCUUCCUCAGCUAAAAAAGUUAAACAUAAAAUGCUUCUAGUCAUCUAUACUUGGGGACGCUGGGAAUCAGAAAGCAGAUUGUUGUCAGAGAUGGACUUGGAGUACUCCUGAGCGAGACGCCUGCUGCCCAUUUGGAGGCUGCAAAUCUCUGCCGGACUCUGCUCCCUACAGUGUGGAUGGUGAGUCGCGGUAUCCGGCAGGAGGGCUGGUGUGACGUACUUAAGGCUUUUCAGCUCACAGGGAAAUUGUAAAAAGCAACUCAGACACAGGGGGAAGAUAGAAUCUCCUAGAGCUCCAUGAGGCGUGAGAACCUUGCUUCUGGGGCAGCAUUGCUGAGGCGGGGCAAUGACCAGACGUUGGACCUUCAUGGAGCGACUCGGUCAAAGGUUGAACCUUUUGAGAGGAGCUUGAACUGAUAAUUCUGACUGGCUGAAAAGCACUGCCCUAAGGUAAAAAGCAACUCAGACACAGGGGGAAGAUAGAAUCUCCUAGAGCUCCAUGAGGCGUGAGAACCUUGCUUCUGGGGCAGCAUUGCUGAGGCGGGGCAAUGACCAGAAGUUGGACCUUCAUGGAGAGACUCGGUCAAAGGUUGAACCUUUUGAGAGGAGCUUGAACUGAUAAUUCUGACUUGCUGAAAAGCACUGCCCUAAGUCUUUCAGGCAUUUCUGGAGUUAAUGGACUGCGUAUUCCCCAUUUUCCAGCAACAAUUUGGCAUGUGUGGAGUUAAUGGAAUGCUUAUUGCCCUUUUUCCAAGGAUCGUACCGGCAUGUGUGGAGUUAAUGGA
Long non-coding RNA from Xenopus tropicalis (tropical clawed frog), 1000 nucleotides. RefSeq lists it as uncharacterized. The transcript is spliced from 8 exons. The record is from RefSeq and is a predicted model, not a curated record. NCBI's taxonomy places the organism in Eukaryota, Metazoa, Chordata, Amphibia, Anura, Pipidae.